UUCUCACUGCCACACUCCACUUGAGCUGCU
This 30-nucleotide non-coding RNA is filed under the name Rattus norvegicus (Norway rat). Lineage: Eukaryota; Metazoa; Chordata; Mammalia; Rodentia; Muridae. The record is from RNAcentral.